This 497-nucleotide ribosomal RNA is filed under the name uncultured bacterium. Its description in RNAcentral is "partial 16S ribosomal RNA". It matches the Rfam family "Bacterial small subunit ribosomal RNA", at positions 28 to 507 of the family's 1533-position model. The record is from RNAcentral.
GAUGAACGCUGGCGGCGUGCCUAAUACAUGCAAGUCGAGCGAACGGACGAGAAGCUUGCUUCUCUGAUGUUAGCGGCGGACGGGUGAGUAACACGUGGAUAACCUACCUAUAAGACUGGGAUAACUUCGGGAAACCGGAGCUAAUACCGGAUAAUAUUUUGAACCGCAUGGUUCAAAAGUGAAAGACGGUCUUGCUGUCACUUAUAGAUGGAUCCGCGCUGCAUUAGCUAGUUGGUAAGGUAACGGCUUACCAAGGCAACGAUGCAUAGCCGACCUGAGAGGGUGAUCAGCCACACUGGAACUGAGACACGGUCCAGACUCCUACGGGAGGCAGCAGUAGGGAAUCUUCCGCAAUGGGCGAAAGCCUGACGGAGCAACGCCGCGUGAGUGAUGAAGGUCUUCGGAUCGUAAAACUCUGUUAUUAGGGAAGAACAUAUGUGUAAGUAACUGUGCACAUCUUGGCGGUACCUAAUCAGAAAGCCACGGCUAACUACGUG